GAUGAACGCUGACAGAAUGCUUAACACAUGCAAGUCGAUGGGGAAGUGGUGCUUGCACCAUGGUAACCAUGGCGGACGGGUGAGUAACGCGUAAGGAACUUACCUGCGGGACCGGGAUAACAGCAGGAAACUGCUGACAAGACCGGAUAAGGUCAUUAAGCUGCAUAGCUUAGUGAUGAAAGGAGACGCCUGCGGAGAGCCUUGCGUCCUAUUAGCUAGUUGGAGGGGUAACGGCCCACCAAGGCGAAGAUAGGUAGCCGGCCUGAGAGGGUGGACGGCCACAAGGGGACUGAGAUACGGCCCUUACUCCUACGGGAGGCAGCAGUGGGGAAUAUUGGACAAUGGAGGCAACCCUGAUCCAGCAAUUCUGUGUGCACGAAGACGGUUUUCGGAUUGUAAAGUGCUUUCAGCAGGGAAGAAGGAAGUGACGGUACCUGCAGAAGAAGCGACGGCUAAAUACGUG
This 463-nucleotide ribosomal RNA is filed under the name uncultured bacterium. RNAcentral describes it as "partial 16S ribosomal RNA". It matches the Rfam family "Bacterial small subunit ribosomal RNA", at positions 28 to 507 of the family's 1533-position model. The record is from RNAcentral.